GACGAACGCUGGCGGCGUGCUUAACACAUGCAAGUCGAGCGGUAAGGCCCUUUCGGGGGUACACGAGCGGCGAACGGGUGAGUAACACGUGGGUGACCUGCCCUCAGCUCUGGGAUAAGCCUGGGAAACCGGGUCUAAUACUGGAUAUGACUCCAUGACGCAUGUUGUGGUGUGGAAAGCCUUGUGCGGCUGAGGAUGGGCCCGCGGCCUAUCAGCUUGUUGGUGGGGNGAUGGCCUACCAAGGCGACGACGGGUAGCCGGCCUGAGAGGGCGACCGGCCACACUGGGACUGAGACACGGCCCAGACUCCUACGGGAGGCAGCAGUGGGGAAUCUUGCGCAAUGGGCGAAAGCCUGACGCAGCGACGCCGCGUGAGGGAUGACGGCCU
This 388-nucleotide ribosomal RNA is filed under the name uncultured bacterium. RNAcentral describes it as "bacterial SSU rRNA". It matches the Rfam family "Bacterial small subunit ribosomal RNA", at positions 28 to 417 of the family's 1533-position model. The record is from RNAcentral.